GAAUCAUGGUCAAUAAAUAUCUAUGUAAUUGUCCCAUCAUCAUCAUCUCUCUCUCUCUCUCUCUCUCUCCAAAUCCUAACUCAGUGUAAAUGACUCGAGGAUAAACCGUGUUUUGUUGCCGGAUGGACCAGCGUAACUAGAGAUUCACCGCGGUCAAAAUGACGUCAUGGGACGACGGAAAACACAGGAAGGUGAAGAAAGUGGUGAUUACGUAUGGUGACGUCAUCAACUCCGUCCAGUUUGAUUACGACGACAACGGCAGGACCCUCACGUCGCAGCAACAUGGCAGUGUCGGAUACGAGUCCAGAUGGUUCGAGCUGGACUCCAACGAGUACAUGACGAAUGUAUACGGUUCCUACACG
Molecule: long non-coding RNA, 362 nt
Organism: Tarenaya hassleriana
Lineage: Eukaryota; Viridiplantae; Streptophyta; Magnoliopsida; Brassicales; Cleomaceae
Exons: 3
Source: RefSeq, a predicted model, not a curated record